RNAcentral lists this transfer RNA (69 nucleotides) under Salix viminalis (osier). The record is from RNAcentral. Lineage: Eukaryota; Viridiplantae; Streptophyta; Magnoliopsida; Malpighiales; Salicaceae.
AGUCCUUUGGCCGAGUGGUUAAGGCGUGCACCGUUUCCCCGCAAGCGAGGGUUCGAAUCUCUUAGGCUA